RNAcentral lists this ribosomal RNA (492 nucleotides) under uncultured bacterium. Its description in RNAcentral is "partial 16S ribosomal RNA". It matches the Rfam family "Bacterial small subunit ribosomal RNA", at positions 29 to 507 of the family's 1533-position model. The record is from RNAcentral.
AGUGAACGCUGGCGGUAGGCCUAACACAUGCAAGUCGAACGGCAGCACAGUAAGAGCUUGCUCUUACGGGUGGCGAGUGGCGGACGGGUGAGGAAUACAUCGGAAUCUACUUUUUCGUGGGGGAUAACGUAGGGAAACUUACGCUAAUACCGCAUACGACCUACGGGUGAAAGCAGGGGAUCUUCGGACCUUGCGCGAUUGAAUGAGCCGAUGUCGGAUUAGCUAGUUGGCGGGGUAAAGGCCCACCAAGGCGACGAUCCGUAGCUGGCCUGAGAGGAUGAUCAGCCACACUGGAACUGAGACACGGUCCAGACUCCUUCGGGAGGCAGCAGUGGGGAAUAUUGGACAAUGGGCGCAAGCCUGAUCCAGCCAUACCGCGUGGGUGAAGAAGGCCUUCGGGUUGUAAAGCCCUUUUGUUGGGAAAGAAAAGCAGCAGGUUAAUACCCCGCUGUUCUGACGGUACCCAAAGAAUAAGCACCGGCUAACUUCGUG